This 433-nucleotide ribosomal RNA is filed under the name uncultured bacterium. Its description in RNAcentral is "partial 16S ribosomal RNA". It matches the Rfam family "Bacterial small subunit ribosomal RNA", at positions 29 to 507 of the family's 1533-position model. The record is from RNAcentral.
AACGAACGCUGGCGGCAUGCCUAACACAUGCAAGUCGAACGAGACCGUCGGGUCUAGUUGCGCACGGGUGCGUAAGCCGUGGGAACCUUCCCUUAGGGUCGGUAUAACUUCCCGAAGGGGGUGCCAAUACCGGAUAAUGUCUACGGACUAAAGAUUUAUCGCCCCAGGAUGGGCCCGCGUUGGCUUAGCUAUUUGGUCGGGUAAAAGCCUACCAAGGCUACGUUCCAUAGCUGGUAUGAGAGUAUGGUCAGCCACACUGGGACUGGGACACGUCCCAAAGGCUUAGGAGAGGCAGCAAGGGGGAAUAAUCGACACUGGGCGAAAGAAUGAGCCUGCCAUGUCGUGUAAGUCAUGAAGGACUUAGGGUUGUAAAGGUGUUUUAAACGGGAUGAUAAUGACAGUACCGGGAGAAUAAGCUACGGCUAACUCCGUG